AUACCGAAAAGGCAAACUCAUCGAAAGACGUGGGCACAAAGCCACGGGUCUGAAGCUUGGCGCAAGCCAUGUCAACCCCGAUUCAAUC
This 88-nucleotide non-coding RNA is filed under the name Chloroflexota bacterium. Its description in RNAcentral is "Chloroflexi bacterium c-di-GMP sequence". It matches the Rfam family "c-di-GMP-I riboswitch aptamer". Rfam says of the family: GEMM was predicted in a large-scale screen for bacterial structured RNA regulatory elements. The record is from RNAcentral. Lineage: Bacteria; Bacillati; Chloroflexota.